UACAGAGGUCCCAAGCGUUGUUCGGAUUUACUGGGCGUAAAGGGUGCGUAGGCGGUUGGGUAAGUCUGACGUGCCAUCUCCGGGCCUACCCCGGAAACUGCGUUGGAUACUAUUUGACUAGAGGAAUGGAGGGGAGACUGGAAUACUUGGUGUAGCAGUGAAAGGCGUAGAUAUCAAGUGGAACACCAGUGGCGAAGGCGAGGCUCGGGACAUUUCCUGACGCUGAGGCACGAAAGCCAGGGGAGCAAACGGG
This 253-nucleotide ribosomal RNA is filed under the name uncultured bacterium. Its description in RNAcentral is "partial 16S ribosomal RNA". It matches the Rfam family "Bacterial small subunit ribosomal RNA", at positions 524 to 776 of the family's 1533-position model. The record is from RNAcentral.